RNAcentral lists this ribosomal RNA (335 nucleotides) under Mantidactylus paidroa. RNAcentral's name for it is "partial 16S ribosomal RNA". It matches the Rfam family "Bacterial large subunit ribosomal RNA", at positions 2184 to 2597 of the family's 2925-position model. Lineage: Eukaryota; Metazoa; Chordata; Amphibia; Anura; Mantellidae. The record is from RNAcentral.
AGCUUCAAACCCAACUACACCCCUAACUUCUAUAACCCCCACCCCACGGGACCCUGUAUAGUUGGUUUUAGGUUGGGGCAACCACGGAGCACAACAAAGCCUCCACAAUGAAUGGGACCACCCCCCCUUAUCUAAGAGCCACACCCCUAGGAAUUAAAACAUUAAUAUAAAAUGAUCCAUUAUUUGAUCAAUGAACCAAGUUACCCUGGGGAUAACAGCGCAAUCCAUUUCAAGAGCCCCUAUCGACAAAUGGGUUUACGACCUCGAUGUUGGAUCAGGGUGUCCUGGUGGUGCAGCAGCUACUAAUGGUUCGUUUGUUCAACGAUUAAAACCCU